UGGGGAAUAUUGCACAAUGGGCGCAAGCCUGAUGCAGCCAUGCCGCGUGUAUGAAGAAGGCCUUCGGGUUGUAAAGUACUUUCAGCGGGGAGGAAGGCGAUAAGGUUAAUAACCUUGUCGAUUGACGUUACCCGCAGAAGAAGCACCGGCUAACUCCGUGCCAGCAGCCGCGGUAAUACGGAGGGUGCAAGCGUUAAUCGGAAUUACUGGGCGUAAAGCGCACGCAGGCGGUCUGUCAAGUCGGAUGUGAAAUCCCCGGGCUCAACCUGGGAACUGCAUUCGAAACUGGCAGGCUAGAGUCUUGUAGAGGGGGGUAGAAUUCCAGGUGUAGCGGUGAAAUGCGUAGAGAUCUGGAGGAAUACCGGUGGCGAAGGCGGCCCCCUGGACAAAGUCUGACGCUCAGGUGCGAAAGCGUGGGGAGCAAACA
Molecule: ribosomal RNA, 427 nt
Filed under: uncultured bacterium
Lineage: Bacteria
Description: partial 16S ribosomal RNA
Rfam family: Bacterial small subunit ribosomal RNA
Source: RNAcentral